This is a long non-coding RNA of Dreissena polymorpha, 536 nucleotides long. RefSeq lists it as uncharacterized. NCBI's taxonomy places the organism in Eukaryota, Metazoa, Mollusca, Bivalvia, Myida, Dreissenidae. The transcript is spliced from 3 exons. The record is from RefSeq and is a predicted model, not a curated record.
CGAACAAACUGAAAUUCAUGUGUUAAUUAAACAAUCAGUAUGAUGACUCACAUUGAAAUCAUGUCCAGUGCACCAGUCAGAGCAAGACAGCUAGCGGAUUGUUGACCAUCUACGGCUCAAGGACAAACGGUCAGGCCUACAAACAAAGAGAAAAAUGGCAUAAAUGGGUUGCAUGCAUGUAAUUUUGCAUAUUUUUCAUCUUGCUCUCCACCUGAAACUUCAAUCUAUGGACAUAAUAAUAUUUACAUUUAAGAUUUGUUGGAAAUGUUACCCUUACUUGUCCAUACCAGGUCCCCCACCCAUACGGAACCGUCUAAAACCACCUAAAACAUCCAUUUGGACCAAAAUAUUGACACCUCUCAUCUAUUUUAGCACCCAAAUCAUCAAAACAUUCAUUAAAAUUCAUGUUCUACUUGUCUCGCUUGCAGACGAAUCCAUGUGACCUUGACAUUGCAGUAAAUGUGCUUUUUAAAGGGAACUCAACUUUGUCCUAUCUUUUUCAAACUUUCUCCACAUGAGAUUUCAACUAUUUCCAC